AACCGUUCGGGGGUAAACGGACAGAGCCCGUGAAUCCGGGCGGGCGAAUUCAGGAUCGGUUGCCGGGAACGGCUGCCGUUUUGAUUUUUCGCUCGUCUUCGACACGGACGUCGCGACCCGUUCGGCGUCGGUCGAAGUGCCGAGGUGACAGUUCGCGUUUCGUCGUUCGGUUUUCCGAACGCUCGAGCGCGAGCCCUCGGUAUACCGGACCGACUGGCCCGACGGUAGGCUAGCGACGGGAGUCGGUCGUUUUUAUACGGCGAUCGACUGCGUCGGUCUGCGACGAUUUUUCGGGCCUCUUUCCGACCCGUCUUGAAACACGGACCAAGGAGUCUAACGUGUGCGCGAGUCACGGGGUAUCGGAACCGUGUCGCCGCGCGUUCCUUGCGGUUCGCGCGGCGCGCGACUUCGUUACGAGCUAAACCCGACGAAGGCGUAAUGAAAGUGAAUGUGGGAGGAUGGCGGUUCGAGUACACGUUUCUCGGUUCCGGAAGGUCCGAGACCGAACGUCCGCACUCCCAAGGCGUCCCGACAGGCCCGGCGGCGUUUAAGUAGGCGAUCUUUUCGGAGUUCGCCGACGGUCGUCGUCGAUCCGGGGCGCACUUUUAGCGUACACGUUGGUACCCGAAAGAUGGUGAACUAUGCCCGGCCAGGAUGAAGUCAGGGGAAACCCUGAUGGAGGUCCGCAGCGAUUCUGACGUGCAAAUCGAUCGUCUGAGCUGGGU
RNAcentral lists this ribosomal RNA (725 nucleotides) under Xylococcus castanopsis. RNAcentral's name for it is "eukaryotic LSU rRNA". It matches the Rfam family "Eukaryotic large subunit ribosomal RNA", at positions 403 to 916 of the family's 3401-position model. The record is from RNAcentral. Lineage: Eukaryota; Metazoa; Arthropoda; Insecta; Hemiptera; Xylococcidae.